Molecule: ribosomal RNA, 436 nt
Filed under: Streptococcus mutans
Lineage: Bacteria; Bacillati; Bacillota; Bacilli; Lactobacillales; Streptococcaceae
Description: bacterial SSU rRNA
Rfam family: Bacterial small subunit ribosomal RNA
Source: RNAcentral
GACGAACGCCGGCGGCGUGCCUAAUACAUGCAAGUGGGACGCAAGGGAACACACUGUGCUUGCACACCGUGUUUUCUUGAGUCGCGAACGGGUGAGUAACGCGUAGGUAACCUGCCUAUUAGCGGGGGAUAACUAUUGGAAACGAUAGCUAAUACCGCAUAAUAUUAAUUAUUGCAUGAUAAUUGAUUGAAAGAUGCAAGCGCAUCACUAGUAGAUGGACCUGCGUUGUAUUAGCUAGUUGGUAAGGUAAGAGCUUACCAAGGCGACGAUACAUAGCCGACCUGAGAGGGUGAUCGGCCACACUGGGACUGAGACACGGCCCAGACUCCUACGGGAGGCAGCAGUAGGGAAUCUUCGGCAAUGGACGAAAGUCUGACCGAGCAACGCCGCGUGAGUGAAGAAGGUUUUCGGAUCGUAAAGCUCUGUUGUAAGUCAA